Molecule: ribosomal RNA, 499 nt
Filed under: uncultured bacterium
Lineage: Bacteria
Description: partial 16S ribosomal RNA
Rfam family: Bacterial small subunit ribosomal RNA
Source: RNAcentral
GACGAACGCUGGCGGCGUGCCUAAUACAUGCAAGUCGAGCGAAGUUUUUCUGGUGCUUGCACUAGAAAAACUUAGCGGCGAACGGGUGAGUAACACGUAAAGAACCUGCCUCAUAGACUGGGACAACUAUUGGAAACGAUAGCUAAUACCGGAUAACAGUAUUUCUCGCAUGAGAGAUAUUUAAAAGUUGGUUAUGCUAACACUAUGAGAUGGCUUUGCGGUGCAUUAGCUAGUUGGUGGGGUAAAGGCCCACCAAGGCGACGAUGCAUAGCCGACCUGAGAGGGUGAUCGGCCACACUGGGACUGAGACACGGCCCAGACUCCUACGGGAGGCAUCAGUAGGGAAUCUUCCGCAAUGGGCGAAAGCCUGACGGAGCAACGCCGCGUGAGUGAAGAAGGAUUUCGGUUCGUAAAGCUCUGUUGUUAGGGAAGAAUGGAUAUGUAGUAACUAUACAUGUAAGAGACGGUACCUAACCAGAAAGCCACGGCUAACUACGUG